CUGGCCAGAUUCGAUAACGGUGGGUUGUGGGUUGCGGGAAGGGGCUCGAUGCUAGAUGUGCAGAGGAUGGUAAUGAGGUCAGUGUCGGCUGCCAUGAGCCCCCGCAGAGCGGGGCAGGCAGGGAGGGCUGCUGGGGCCAGAGAGGAGGAGAGAGGCAAGGGCCGGAAAGGCCUCCAAGGCCACAGCAAACCACCAGCAGUGGACGCCUCGAGUGGAUGGAAGGAAUUCCUGAGUAAAGGGGGACAGUGGAUGAGGCCAGGAGAGGGUGGCAGAGAGCCCAGGGCCACACAGGGAAGACGAUGAUAGAGGAGGAGGUCUGGGCUGCCAAGGGGCAGCAGCUGUGGAGAGAAGGGGCGGGUCUGGAGGGACAGCCAGCCUCGAAACCAGGGGGCCAACAAGCAGGGGAGGGGACGGCCAACGGUGGCCCAUGCUGGCCAGAGAGUUUGGUAAUGAGGAGGUCACUAGUGGCCUUGGCAGGGAGUGGAGGGAACAGAGCCAGGUGACAGGGAGAGCUCCUGCAGAAAGACGGGCAGACAGUAAGCCUGGGGAGGAUGUGGCGCUGGGGUAGUCAGUGCCCAGGAAAUGUUUGGGGAUAGCAUGGGCUAGGGACAGAAGGCAGGAGGAUGGGCUGGGAGGAGAAGGGCUCAUCUUCCUUGCACCACAGACACCAGAGGGCAGGGUGGCUGCUGCUGCAGAAAGUGUGCAGGCCACACAAGAAAUGUUUGCAGGCACCUCUGCUGGGAAUAAGAUCUGCUCUUACAGUUUGCGGAAAAGCAGUGUUCUUUAGUAAAAAUCUCAGAAUAUACAGAAUGGCAUAAACAACACCUUUUCUCCCUCCACCUAGAAUCAACCGUCGAACAUUUCCUGUCCUUACAGAUCCUUUACGAAAACGGGAUCUUGUUCAACACAUACUGCUUUAUGGGCUGCUUUGUUCAUGUCAUAUGAAAGUUAUUUCUCCAUUAUCAAUUUUAACCGGAAGCACCAGGAUUAGGGUUCUAAUUAAUGCCCUGUUUUUGAAUGUAUAGAUGGUUUCCAUCUUUUACUACUCCAAAUAGUACUUAUUUAGGGCACCUGGCUGAGAAUUUCCUUAGAAUGACUGCCAGGAGAGGCUUCCAGGUGGAGGCGCCCGGACGUUCUGUGCAUGUCGUUUUUACACGUGCUGUCGCACUGCCCUCCUGGGGGUUCCAUCUGUUUACACUGUCCCCAGGAAUAAAUGAGGGCUCUGGCUUUCCACACUCUUCUCCUCAACAAGGAUUAAUAAUAAAAAACUCUCUGCCAAUUUGCUAAUGAAAAAUGGUAUCCUUUGCUUUUCUAAUUUUCAUUUAGCUAUGAAAAGGCUUCAUUGAAAUUACCCACAGAUAGUUUGAGGUCAUGGACAAUUACAUUAAUUAAUUCAUAAUUGAACUUUCCAGUUCUGUUGGAUAGUUCCCUUCGCCUGCCAGUAGAGGGCUCUUCGCUCCUAUCAAAUAUCACUAGAGGGUUUUUGUUUUGUGUCAAUUAUGAAAUAAAGACAAAUCGCCACCGUGUGCUUUUUCAAAUGCUAGCAAGUUCUAGCAAAGAACUAAAGACCUCUCCAUCCACAUGCAUUUUAUGGGAUUGAUCUUUUGUAUUUUCCAAAGAAACACUGUCAAACCUUCACCAUCAGAAUUAGAUUCUCAGGGGAUAAUGCCUCAACAAUUAAAAGCUGUUUGUGUUUCGGCACGCAUGGGUUAUGAAGAUGCUCUGCCCAGAUGACCCCUGGACAUUUUGGAGGUUCUCUCUGAAAGGAUCCUAUUUUGCUUGCCAAGGAGAACUGCAGGAAUAAAACAGCUACUUGUUUUUUUCCGGCUGCUGUGUCUCAGCUGAAACUCAUUCACUCAUUCAUUCAUCCCACACGUAUUUACGGUGCAUCUGAGAGCUCUGUGGUAGGAGGCAGGGGUGUCUGGGAGUUGGGAGACAUGGUCCCUGCCUGUGGAGGGUGCAGCUGCCUGUGUCUGAAUGGGCGACGCUGAGUGAGGUGCUGUGGGGUUAGGGAGGGUGCGGGGGAGUGAGGCCUAUUUGCAGGGGAGGGGGUUCACUUUCCCAUACUGUGGUCACUUGAAUUCUGUUUAAAUAGUUCAUAUGACAUUUUGGCUUGCAUUUCCACUAUUGAAAAAUUAUAUUUGAAGUUUCUAUUUCCUUGUAAUACCUUUUAUGUACUUGCAGAGGUUACUUGAAGUCCUCACUGCAAUUAGCUGGACAUAAACCAUAAAUGAUCAUCAAAAGAAGGGCAGAGCCCUCUGCCCACCACACUAGGGCCAAUGAAUUCUCGCCAGGUGGCACGGACUCUGGCCAGCUUGGAGAAGUCUGUGUCCAAAGCCAUUCUCAACUUCCCAAGGCACCUCCAUCGCCCCCAGCCCGAGUGUUUCCGGGUUGCCUAAACAUUUUCAAUGCUUGUGGCAUCAAGCCCUGGUCCGGCACCGUCCCCGAUACAGAACACCUGCGGACGCCACGCUGUGGUUCUGGUGAUUGACAGCCUGCAGAGUGUGUCUCCACACCGGACUGACACAGAGCCAGGGGCCUCCACAGCCUGACGCUUCCCCCCGUGGGGUGCUCCCUGUCGUCACUGGACAGGUGGAGUGGGAUGUGUAUCCCGGGUCCUGGAGAAACCUGGCCCUCAUUUCCUUCCUCCUGGGAGUCCCUUUCCCACGGCAGUCUCUGACACCGCUGGACCCGGCUACAUGGCCCACCGUGGCCUAGGGCCUUUCUUUCAUGUCCUUUUUUCUCCUUCUUUGCGGGUGCAUGUGUCUGAAUUCUGAGAAGUUUCCCAUGUGUGGGGGUCUAGGUCUCCCUCCCCACCUGGGCCCCUCCCCGGUGUCUGGUUUGACGUGGCCUCCCAGGACUGACACGGAUGUUCCAGGCAGUGGAAACAACGGCAGAGGCCUCACUGGCCGUACAGAGGCCUGCACCCCCACCGACAGCGGGUUUUGACGGACUCUGGGCGCUAGUGAGGUGUCUGUCUGGGUUCCUUACUGUAGCACAUGGUGAGUGUGGCCCACGGUGGGGCGUGGAGAGUGGGGAGGCCCUGCCUAUGUGAGAACAGGUUAUGUGGGAGCUGUCUGCACUUUCUCCUCCUUUUUGCCAGGAACUGAAAGCUGCUCUGAAAAAUAAAGUCUAUGUAAAGAACAAAAGGUUCUGAAGCCUAUGUGCACGCCCCUCCUCAGCCGGCCUCUUCAUGGAUGACCCGCUCAAGACUCAGGGCACUGGCCUCCCACCAUGUCCACACCUGAGGCUGCACCGGAGUCGCUAAAUCCUGCGUCCCUCUCCCCCUGUCCUUGCUCCUCUCUUUCCUCUCCCCCUCCUUUUUGAUCAGCCCUGUUUUGGUGGCCAGGUGUAGGCCUUGCAUUAUCCUUACUGAUAUCCACCUUGUAAAAUGAGACUAACAUAUUUAUCACACUAAUUGUACA
Non-coding RNA from Chlorocebus sabaeus (green monkey), 3425 nucleotides. NCBI's taxonomy places the organism in Eukaryota, Metazoa, Chordata, Mammalia, Primates, Cercopithecidae. The record is from RefSeq and is a predicted model, not a curated record.